Molecule: ribosomal RNA, 253 nt
Filed under: uncultured bacterium
Lineage: Bacteria
Description: partial 16S ribosomal RNA
Rfam family: Bacterial small subunit ribosomal RNA
Source: RNAcentral
GACAGAGGUGCCAAGCGUUAGGCGGAAUCACUGGGCUUAAAGCGUGUGUAGGCGGACUUGUAAGUACCUUGUGAAAUCCCACGGCUCAACUGUGGAACUGCCUCGGAUACUGGGUGUCUCGAGGGUGGCAGGGGUAUGCGGAACUAUCGGUGGAGCGGUGAAAUGCGUUGAUAUCGAUAGGAACUCCGGUGGCGAAGGCGGCAUACUGGUCCACUUCUGACGCUGAGGCGCGAAAGCCAGGGGAGCAAACGGG